GUGAAUCAUCGAAUCUUUGAACGCAAAUUGCACUCUCCUCGGAGAGUAUGACUGUUUGAGGGUCAGCCUCUAAAAAAACGAAAUCGUUGCUGUUUCGCGGAGGCGUUCGUCGGAAAUUGGGGCAUCUUAUAUACUUUUGAUUUAAGCGACUUAAAAUUUUCCUUUGGUUCCAUGAAUGUUGCUAAGAACUAUUUCUUUACAUGUUUAAG
Molecule: unclassified non-coding RNA, 209 nt
Filed under: Glomus sp.
Lineage: Eukaryota; Fungi; Glomeromycota; Glomeromycetes; Glomerales; Glomeraceae
Description: partial contains 5.8S ribosomal RNA and internal transcribed spacer 2
Rfam family: 5.8S ribosomal RNA (bases 1-65)
Source: RNAcentral